Solanum verrucosum is the source of this 365-nucleotide long non-coding RNA. RefSeq lists it as uncharacterized. The record is from RefSeq and is a predicted model, not a curated record. The transcript has 3 exons. Lineage: Eukaryota; Viridiplantae; Streptophyta; Magnoliopsida; Solanales; Solanaceae.
UUUCAAGUGUGGCGUCUGAAUGUGCUUUUAGUACUGGAGGGCGCAUACUUGAUUCAUUUAGGAGUUCAUUAAACUCCUAAAUUGGUACAAGCUCUAGUGUGCCUUCAAGAUUGGCUUCGGAGUGAGCCACAACCCAUAAGUAUUGAGGAAGAUUUAGAUUUUCUUGAGCAACUUGAAGAAGAUUUGGCUAAACUUGGAAAAGAACUUUGCAUUGAUGACAUGUAAAAUUGGAGGUUUCCUUCACUAACUCUACUAAAGGAGAAGGAAGAUUUCAUCAUGCCUCGACUUCAUGAUUCUAAUGCUCGAUCACCUGUUUGGAAUCACUAUGAAAAGCUUGAAGAAAAAGAAGAUGGAUCGUGGACAGU